RNAcentral lists this unclassified non-coding RNA (446 nucleotides) under Tetradium fraxinifolium. Its description in RNAcentral is "partial external transcribed spacer". Lineage: Eukaryota; Viridiplantae; Streptophyta; Magnoliopsida; Sapindales; Rutaceae. The record is from RNAcentral.
UUGAUGGCGUGGGUGGGCAGGCUCCUUGCUCGUGCAUCGAACUGUCGGCGCUCCAUCCGCUUCAGUCUUACCCCAAGCGCAGCUCCUGGCUUGCGGGUGCAUAAGAUAUCCUGUGUUGCUUACCCACGAAAAGGAAUUCGACGGUUUUGCUGUCCCCAUCCGCCUUGUGCCCUUCGGGGUGCGGGGCGGACGCGAGGCGAGUUCCGUGUUCCCGGCGUGUCUGGCGCUUUGUCGCUUGGCCGCUGCGGCCCAUGGGGUUUCGGCCCGAGCUCUCGGAUGCGGAACGCUACGUGUGGGCGUGAGGUCUCGGCCUCUGCUCGUCCAAGCUACACGCAUUGUCCCUUGACACGAACGACCGCCGCGCYYGUCUUGAUCGGCCGACCGAGCCCCCGCCGCGGGGAUUCGGGAGGGCGGCUCAUGCGGGCGUCGGCGUCGGAGAGGAAUGC